RNAcentral lists this long non-coding RNA (175 nucleotides) under Homo sapiens (human). RNAcentral's name for it is "novel transcript". Lineage: Eukaryota; Metazoa; Chordata; Mammalia; Primates; Hominidae. The record is from RNAcentral.
UGAUGGAGGAUCUGGGCCACUACUUCCGUGAUGUCCAACUCUGGUGGCUUGGGUCUUUCUACCCUGUCCUGCAUCUCGUCCACCCUACGUUCACUGCCCCUGUGCUCCAGGCUUCAGCUGCUGUUGCACUCAAGGAUAUGAGUUUCUAUGGCUUCCUGAAGCCCUGGCUGGGUGA